Molecule: transfer RNA, 78 nt
Filed under: Culex gelidus
Lineage: Eukaryota; Metazoa; Arthropoda; Insecta; Diptera; Culicidae
Description: tRNA-Met
Rfam family: tRNA (bases 10-78)
About the family: Transfer RNA (tRNA) molecules are approximately 80 nucleotides in length. Their secondary structure includes four short double-helical elements and three loops (D, anti-codon, and T loops).
Source: RNAcentral
AAUUUUUAAAAAAAGAUAAGCUAAUUAAGCUAUUGGGUUCAUACCCCACUUAUAAAGGUUAUAAUCCUUUUCUUUUUA